CCCGUAACGAGCGCAACCCUUGUCCUUAGUUACCAGCACGUAAUGGUGGGCACUCUAAGGAGACUGCCGGUGACAAACCGGAGGAAGGUGGGGAUGACGUCAAGUCAUCAUGGCCCUUACGGCCUGGGCUACACACGUGCUACAAUGGUCGGUACAGAGGGUUGCCAAGCCGCGAGGUGGAGCUAAUCUCACAAAACCGAUCGUAGUCCGGAUCGCAGUCUGCAACUCGACUGCGUGAAGUCGGAAUCGCUAGUAAUCGCGAAUCAGAAUGUCGCGGUGAAUACGUUCCCGGGCCUUGUACACACCGCCCGUCACACCAUGGGAGUGGGUUGCACCAGAAGUAGCUAGUCUAACCUUCGGGAGGACGGUUACCACGGUGUGAUUCAUGACUGGGGUGAAGUCGU
Molecule: ribosomal RNA, 404 nt
Filed under: Pseudomonas sp. EKM103A
Lineage: Bacteria; Pseudomonadati; Pseudomonadota; Gammaproteobacteria; Pseudomonadales; Pseudomonadaceae
Description: bacterial SSU rRNA
Rfam family: Bacterial small subunit ribosomal RNA
Source: RNAcentral